This 498-nucleotide ribosomal RNA is filed under the name uncultured bacterium. RNAcentral's name for it is "partial 16S ribosomal RNA". It matches the Rfam family "Bacterial small subunit ribosomal RNA", at positions 28 to 507 of the family's 1533-position model. The record is from RNAcentral.
GACGAACGCUGGCGGCGUGCCUAAUACAUGCAAGUCGAGCGGACGGAUGGGAGCUUGCUCCCAGACCGUCAGCGGCGGACGGGUGAGUAACACGUGGGCAACCUGCCUGUAAGACUGGGAUAACUCCGGGAAACCGGGGCUAAUACCGGAUAACUCUUUCCCUCCCAUGAGGGAAAGCUGAAAGAUGGCAUCUCGCUAUCACUUACACAUGGGCCCGCGGCGCAUUAGCUAGUUGGUGAGGUAACGGCUCACCAAGGCGACGAUGCGUAGCCGACCUGAGGGGGUGAUCGGCCACACUGGGACUGGGACACGGCCCAGACUCCUGCGGGAGGCAGCAGUAGGGAAUCUUCCGCAAUGGACGAAAGUCUGACGGAGCAACGCCGCGUGAGUGAUGAAGAUUUUCGGAUCGGAAAACUCUGUUGUCAGGGAAGAACAAGUACCGGAGUAACUGCCGGUACCUUGACGGUACCUGACCAGAAAGCCACGGCUAACUACGUG